Quercus lobata is the source of this 1709-nucleotide long non-coding RNA. RefSeq lists it as uncharacterized. The record is from RefSeq and is a predicted model, not a curated record. Lineage: Eukaryota; Viridiplantae; Streptophyta; Magnoliopsida; Fagales; Fagaceae. The transcript has 5 exons.
UUCGUUGCCGUCGCCGCCGCAUCUCCCUCUCCUUCAUCGUUGAUCUACACGAGCCCACUCGCCACAAACCCACGCCGACUCAUCUCCGAGCCCACUUGCCACAAACCUACGCCGACCCAUCUCCCUAGCCCAUCCACCGACCCAGCUCGCCGAUCUUCCUCCACUCCUCACCGGCCCAACUCCCAGAUAGAGAUAUUUAAGCGCAGCCGCUCCUUUUAGGGUUUAGCUUAGUUUUUCCUCUCGGACCAAAAAGUAGCCAUGGUCGAAGUGGUGGCCCCUCCUCCUCUAACAGAACCGACAGAAACCGUUGUUCUGGAACCCCGACAGCCUCACAACGUUGUCAAGCUCUUCUUGAGGAGUUUUGGAUUCUGAAGCUCCAAUGACAGAGCAUGUUUCGAGGGUAUUGCCGAAGAAUGAGGGUUGGUUAAUAGGAACAAAAGAAUGCUGGGGCAGCUUUUGGGGACAUUAGAGGCUAAGCAGAGCACGUGAAGAAAGCAAGAAGCUGAGGCAACAAGAGCGUGAGCAAAAUGCCGAAAAAAAGAGUAGAGAUCUGGUUUGUUGUUUAUUAUAACUUUGUAUUUACACCUAUUGAAGUUUUGUACGUGCAAGUUAGAUUUGAGCUUAUAUAAGGAAGUAAAAUAAGUUAUCUAACAGUAUAUCUAUAUGAGAAAACUUGACAAGGUGCUAGCUUUCACAUGACACUUGAACAAGAAAGAGAAAGUGAUGGUAGGAUAUGAAAAAGACGCACAUUUAAACAACAAGAAGAAAGUAAUGUUGAAAGAAACACAUGAUGUACGUGGAAAAUCCUAGAGAAGGGAUGAAAAACCACGGUUUGAGCAAGAAUGUAAUGUUCUUGCUCUGCUUAGAUCGUAUUAUGUGUGAAAAGUGGUUGAUUUCUUACAACAAGAUUGUUCCUCUCUCCUACCAACUCUCUAAUCUCUUUUCUCAAAUCUCUCAUUUUUGUUCUAGGGUUCUUGCCCUAAUACAGCUGCAUAUUCCUCUUAUAAUAUGAGGAAUAUGACUGAGUACAAGGACAGGUGUCAAGUCAUAAUUUCCCUACUUAGGACCUUUGCACAGCUGUGAUAUUAUUUGCUGACUAGAGGAUAGGAAUUGUGCCAAUGUUGCAUUGGGACCCAUGGGUAGGUGGCCUUGCCACUGCUUGGGAAACAAGUCUUGGAUAUUGAGAAGGACAUCAAGAGUAUUAUGAUUGAUACACGUGUCUCUGAUGUGGUCCAACUUCUGAUCUUAGAAAGUCACCAUCUCCCUUUUUGUGAGUGCUUGAGUACUAUGCCAGGUGCAAAUCUUAUUUCCUUCCCAUGGCAAUCACGCCUUUAGUACAGACCAAGACAAAAUCCCUUAGCCAACGCUUCCUCUUCCUUUGCUCACAACCAUUCCAUGUGUAAGGUCUAGAUUCAACCACUUAUGCAUUCUCCCAUGCCAUAGUAGUGUUAUGUACAAGCUUCAAAGGUGAUCUUUUAUUAUGAUCCUUACUCAAUAUCUAAUUCUUGUCCUUUUGUUUUAUUCAGACUCUCAGGGCACGUGUAGUUGCGAAGAUAGAACAAAAAAGUUGGAAUUGUUAUUUCUUCAGUGGAGUGACCACCAUAAAAAACUUUGCAAUUUUAUAAGGACCAAGGCAGAACCUCCAAUAUAUUAUUUACCUAAAAAACCUCUAGAAGAAGGCAAAACUAUGGUCUAGCAGCGAAAAGAAC